AAGAGAGAGACAUGCGCGCAUAUCAAUAAGCGGAGGAAAAGAAACUAACAAGGAUUCCCCUAGUAACGGCGAGUGAAGCGGGAAGAGCUCAAAUUUGAAAUCUUAAAGGGUUUACCUUGACGAAUUGUAGUUUAAAGAAGCGUUUUCUGUUGAAGGUUUCGGUAAAAGUUCUUUGGAAUAGGACAUCAUAGAGGGUGAGAAUCCCGUAUUUGACCGUUACUUUCAGCUGUGUGAUACACUUUCAAAGAGUCGGAUUGUUUGGGAAUGCAGUCCAAAAUGGGUGGUAAAUUUCAUCUAAAGCUAAAUAUUGGCGAGAGACCGAUAGCGAACAAGUACCAGGAGGGAAAGAUGAAAAGAACUUUGAAAAGAGAGUUAAACAGUACGUGAAAUUGUCAAAAGGGAAGCGUUUGACACCAGUGUUGUUUUUCUGAAAAUCAAUUAAAGAACUGUUUAUGCUAAGCUGUUUAGACUUUAUCAGCUAACUGUUUAGUUUUGAGCUUUUCUUUAAUGCACUUUUCAGUUAACAAGUCAACAUCAAUUUCUUUUGCUGUAAAAAAGCUUGAGGAAGGUGGCUUGAGAUUCGUCUUAAGUGUUUAUAGCCUCUUGCCUAUGCAGUCGGAGAGAUUGAGGUCUGCAGCGUAGAUCCUUCGGGGCUAAAUGCAUUUGUGCUAAGUUAUAGCAUUUUAUAGACAACUUGUUGACUAUGAUUUGUCUUGUAGCUUACUCGCUUAUGUUAUUUUACCUACGCUUAGGAUGUUGAGCGCAUGUCUCUCUCU
This 776-nucleotide ribosomal RNA is filed under the name uncultured Neocallimastigales. RNAcentral describes it as "partial large subunit ribosomal RNA". It matches the Rfam family "Eukaryotic large subunit ribosomal RNA", at positions 23 to 616 of the family's 3401-position model. The record is from RNAcentral. Lineage: Eukaryota; Fungi; Neocallimastigomycota; Neocallimastigomycetes; Neocallimastigales.